AAAUAAAUUUUGGAUAGUAAAAUUAAAUUUAAAAAAUCUCAACAGGUGAUAAGAAACUGCAAUGCUUGUAGCGACAAAUUAUGGUAAUGUGCUCAGCUUUUGUAUUAUUGACAAAAAGUAUACAGUAAUAAAUACACCCAUAACCCUCAAACUAUUGUUUACUAUCAAAAGAAUCUAACAGGAAAAGCUAUUAAAAGUUUUUUAAGAGAAACAAGUAAAACGAGGUAAGUACAGAAAAAGGCUUUAUACGCACUCAAUCGUAUUGAAGCAAAGUUGGAACCCUUCUGCGAUCUGAAACUUGCAAUGAAGUAAAGGAAAAAAGCCAUACUGUCGAGACGAUGUGUAUAAUGUCUUAAAGAAUAAAACUCCGUAAAAUAUUAGAAUAUUGACGUCGGAUAUGUCCCCUCGGUUAACAAAACUUUAAACUUCAUGAAUUUAGGAAUAUUGCGGGGAGGGAAUACAUUAAUAAUUCAAACAAUAGGAGAAAGAAAUCUUUGACGGCACACUCAAGAAUAAGUCAUGGACUACGGACUAAAAUUAUCAAAUUUCUCAGUAACUUAAGUUGUUUUUUCGUUCCAUCAUCUUACGAAGUAGAUUGGUUUAAGUAUAAAUAGAUCGAUUAGAUCUAGUGUCAUUUAGAUUUGUUUUCCAGUAU
Molecule: non-coding RNA, 655 nt
Organism: Schizosaccharomyces pombe (fission yeast)
Lineage: Eukaryota; Fungi; Ascomycota; Schizosaccharomycetes; Schizosaccharomycetales; Schizosaccharomycetaceae
Source: the annotation of a GenBank genome assembly